UGCAACGGCCGGGAAUCGAACCUUGGCGAGCAUUCUCGCCAUUGAACUACCGAUGC
Molecule: transfer RNA, 56 nt
Filed under: Cordylochernes scorpioides
Lineage: Eukaryota; Metazoa; Arthropoda; Arachnida; Pseudoscorpiones; Chernetidae
Description: tRNA-Ser
Source: RNAcentral